AGACCCGAAACCCGGUGAUCUAGCCAUGGGCAGGUUGAAGGUUGGGUAACACUAACUGGAGGACCGAACCGACUAAUGUUGAAAAAUUAGCGGAUGACCUGUGGCUGGGGGUGAAAGGCCAAUCAAACCGGGAGAUAGCUGGUUCUCCCCGAAAGCUAUUUAGGUAGCGCCUCGUGAAUUCAUCUCCGGGGGUAGAGCACUGUUUCGGCUAGGGGGUCAUCCCGACUUACCAACCCGAUGCAAACUGCGAAUACCGGAGAAUGUUAUCACGGGAGACACACGGCGGGUGCUAACGUCCGUCGUGAAGAGGGAAACAACCCAGACCGCCAGCUAAGGUCCCAAAGUCAUGGUUAAGUGGGAAACGAUGUGGGAAGGCCCAGACAGCCAGGAUGUUGGCUUAGAAGCAGCCAUCAUUUAAAGAAAGCGUAAUAGCUCACUGGUCGAGUCGGCCUGCGCGGAAGAUGUAACGGGGCUAAACCAUGCACCGAAGCUGCGGCAGCGACGCUUAUGCGUUGUUGGGUAGGGGAGCGUUCUGUAAGCCUGUGAAGGUGGCCUGUGAGGGUUGCUGGAGGUAUCAGAAGUGCGAAUGCUGACAUAAGUAACGAUAAAGCGGGUGAAAAGCCCGCUCGCCGGAAGACCAAGGGUUCCUGUCCAACGUUAAUCGGGGCAGGGUGAGUCGACCCCUAAGGCGAGGCCGAAAGGCGUAGUCGAUGGGAAACGGGUUAAUAUUCCCGUACUUGGUGUUACUGCGAAGGGGGGACGGAGAAGGCUAUGUUGGCCGGGCGACGGUUGUCCCGGUUUAAGCGUGUAGGUGUGUGUUCCAGGUAAAUCCGGUUCACUUUAACACUGAGGCGUGACGACGAGGCACUACGGUGCUGAAGCAACAAAUGCCCUGCUUCCAGGAAAAGCCUCUAAGCAUCAGGUAACAUCAAAUCGUACCCCAAACCGACACAGGUGGUCAGGUAGAGAAUACCAAGGCGCUUGAGAGAACUCGGGUGAAGGAACUAGGCAAAAUGGUGCCGUAACUUCGGGAGAAGGCACGCUGACACGUAGGUGAAGUGAUUUACUCAUGGAGCUGAAGUCAGUCGAAGAUACCAGCUGGCUGCAACUGUUUAUUAAAAACACAGCACUGUGCAAACACGAAAGUGGACGUAUACGGUGUGACGCCUGCCCGGUGCCGGAAGGUUAAUUGAUGGGGUCAGCGCAAGCGAAGCUCCUGAUCGAAGCCCCGGUAAACGGCGGCCGUAACUAUAACGGUCCUAAGGUAGCGAAAUUCCUUGUCGGGUAAGUUCCGACCUGCACGAAUGGCGUAAUGAUGGCCAGGCUGUCUCCACCCGAGACUCAGUGAAAUUGAACUCGCUGUGAAGAUGCAGUGUACCCGCGGCAAGACGGAAAGACCCCGUGAACCUUUACUAUAGCUUGACACUGAACAUUGAGCCUUGAUGUGUAGGAUAGGUGGGAGGCUUUGAAGCGUGGACGCCAGUCUGCGUGGAGCCGACCUUGAAAUACCACCCUUUAAUGUUU
RNAcentral lists this ribosomal RNA (1524 nucleotides) under Salmonella enterica. Its description in RNAcentral is "partial 23S ribosomal RNA". It matches the Rfam family "Bacterial large subunit ribosomal RNA", at positions 711 to 2215 of the family's 2925-position model. Lineage: Bacteria; Pseudomonadati; Pseudomonadota; Gammaproteobacteria; Enterobacterales; Enterobacteriaceae. The record is from RNAcentral.